CUCAAUAAAAAUAAAUAUCAAAAAACUGCCUAUAGAGACAAAUUAAGUUCAUAGUGACUGUCUUCCAUUCGCCUGAAUGCUCUUUUCGACAUCUAAAAACACGAUGUUAGUCGUGGCAAAGGCUUUUUUAUUUUAAAACUAUCAACCAAAGCCUAAAAAAAUGUCAAAUAAUUUUUUUAAUUUUCUGUAAAAUUUUCAUCAUAAUUUAUUUUUUUUUUCAAAAUUUUAAGUUGUGAAGUUUUGUAGGAAAGGACAAUCUUUAUCAAUUUUUUUGUAUUCAGAGAAUUGUAACAUUUCAGAUUUGCAAUUGGUAAAGAAAUAGUACCACGAUUCCAAAAAUACCGAUGAUACAAUAACUGAAAUCACCGAAAACAAGUAAAAGCAUGCUAAGUUUGGCCGGGCCGAAUCCAUGGAUCGUAUUUGUCGAGUUCUUUUCCCGCCAUCUCUUCUUAGGCAAAACAGGAUAUAAGAAAAAAACUGCUCUGCUAUUAGAGCGAUAUCAAGAUAUGAUCCGGUUUGGGCCACAAUUAAAUUAUAUGAAUAGAGAGAUCGAUUUAUAUGGGAGCUGUAUCAGGCUAUAGACCGAUUUAGCCCAUAAUAAACACGUAUGUUAAUGGUCAUGCGA
This is a long non-coding RNA of Stomoxys calcitrans (stable fly), 625 nucleotides long. RefSeq lists it as uncharacterized. The record is from RefSeq and is a predicted model, not a curated record. The transcript has 2 exons. Lineage: Eukaryota; Metazoa; Arthropoda; Insecta; Diptera; Muscidae.